This 849-nucleotide ribosomal RNA is filed under the name uncultured soil bacterium. Its description in RNAcentral is "bacterial SSU rRNA". It matches the Rfam family "Bacterial small subunit ribosomal RNA", at positions 656 to 1501 of the family's 1533-position model. The record is from RNAcentral.
AGUGCGUGAAUUCCCGGUGUAGCGUUGAAAUGCGUAGAUAUCGGGAGGAACACCUGUGGCGAAAGCGGCGCACUGGACCAUAACUGACGCUGAGGCGCGAAAGCUAGGGGAGCAAACAGGAUUAGAUACCCUGGUAGUCCUAGCCCUAAACGAUGAUUGCUUGGUGUGGUGGGUACCCAAUCCCACUGUGCCGCAGCUAACGCGAUAAGCAAUCCGCCUGGGGAGUACGGUCGCAAGGCUGAAAUUCAAAGGAAUUGACGGGGGCCCGCACAAGCGGUGGAGCAUGUGGUUCAAUUCGACGCAACGCGAAGAACCUUACCUGGGCUCGAAGCGCAGUGGACCGGGGUAGAAAUAUCCCUUCCUCGCAAGAGGCUGCUGCGGAGGUGCUGCAUGGCUGUCGUCAGCUCGUGUCGUGAGAUGUUGGGUUAAGUCCCGCAACGAGCGCAACCCUUAUCCCUAGUUGCCAUCGGGUCAAGCCGGGCACUCUAGUGAAACCGCCCAGGAUAACUGGGGGGAAGGUGGGGAUGACGUCAAGUCCUCAUGGCCUUUAUGUCCAGGGCUACACACGUGCUACAAUGGUCGGUACAAACCGUCGCAAACCCGCGAGGGGGAGCUAAUCGGAAAAAGCCGGCCUCAGUUCGGAUUGGAGUCUGCAACCCGACUCCAUGAAGCUGGAAUCGCUAGUAAUCGCGGAUCAGAACGCCGCGGUGAAUACGUUCCCGGGCCUUGUACACACCGCCCGUCACAUCACGAAAGUGGACUGCACUAGAAGCCGGCGUGCUAACUCGCAAGAGAGGCAACCGUCCAAGGUAUGGUUCAUGAUUGGGGUGAAGUCGUAACAAGGUAACC